CAAACUAUUCAGUUUAGAAAAGAAUGAUAUUAGAAACCUCAAUAUAAUUUUUGAAGACCUAUCCAUAGAUACCCCACACGUAUGGGUUUGAUGAAUUUUUUUUUCAGUUUCAGCGAUUUAUGACGUAUUAAAAAAAAACUACUUACUAGAUCUCGUUCAAACCAAUUUUCGGUGGAAGUUUACAUGAUAAUGUACAUCAUAUAUUUUUUUUAGUUUUAUCAUUCUCUUAUUUUAGAAGUUACAGGGGGGGACACACAUUUUACCACUUUAGAAGUGUCUCUCGCGCAAACUAUUCAGUUUAGAAAAAAAUGAUAUUAGAAACCUCAAUAUCAUUUUUGAAGACCUAUCCAUAGAUACCCCACACGUAUGGGUUUGAUGAAAAAAAUUUUUUUGCGAUUUAUGACGUAUUAAAAAAAAAAACUACUUACUAGAUCUCGUUCAAACCAAUUUUCGGUGGAAGUUUACAUGGUAAUGUACAUCGUAUAUUUUUUUUAGUUUUAUCAUUCUCUUAUUUUAGAAGUUACAGGGGGGGGGGGGGGACACACACAUUUUACCACUUUGGAAGUGUCUCUCGCGCAAACUAUUCAGUUUAGAAAAAAAUGAUAUUAGAAACCUCAAUAUCAUUUUUGAAGACCUAUCCAUAGAUACCCCACACGUAUGGGUUUGAUGAAGAAAAAAAAAUUGAGUUUCAGUUCGAAGUAUGGGGAACCCCA
Molecule: long non-coding RNA, 713 nt
Organism: Cydia amplana
Lineage: Eukaryota; Metazoa; Arthropoda; Insecta; Lepidoptera; Tortricidae
Exons: 3
Source: RefSeq, a predicted model, not a curated record